This is a long non-coding RNA of Amblyraja radiata (thorny skate), 296 nucleotides long. RefSeq lists it as uncharacterized. The transcript has 3 exons. Lineage: Eukaryota; Metazoa; Chordata; Chondrichthyes; Rajiformes; Rajidae. The record is from RefSeq and is a predicted model, not a curated record.
CAAGGAAAAAGUGCGGCAGUGUUUGGGAUUAUUAAUGUCUGUCCUAUAUUGGCGGACAUUAAAUAGUGGAGGAAGACACACCAUGCUAGAGUAACAGCAGGUGCCUGGAGUAACAAUCAAGAGAAAGGCACAAAGUGCUGGAGUAACUCAGCAAGUCCGAUGGCAUCUCUGGAGAACAUGGAUAGGUGACAUUUCGGGUCACAAGGCAGGGCACGGCUGGAUUUUGGACAAAGGCCAGAGAUGUAGAGUGGGCGAUCCCGAGGUACCGAGGGGUGCGUGGAGACCGAUGCAGAAGC